UAGGGAAUCUUCCACAAUGGACGCAAGUCUGAUGGAGCAACGCCGCGUGAGUGAAGAAGGUUUUCGGAUCGUAAAGCUCUGUUGUUGGUGAAGAAGGAUAGAGGUAGUAACUGGCCUUUAUUUGACGGUAAUCAACCAGAAAGUCACGGCUAACUACGUGCCAGCAGCCGCGGUAAUACGUAUGUGGCAAGCGUUGUCCGGAUUUAUUGGGCGUAAAGCUAGCGCAGGCGGAAGAAUAAGUCUGAUGUGAAAGCCCUCGGCUUAACCGAGGAACUGCAUCGGAAACUGUUUUUCUUGAGUGCAGAAGAGGAGAGUGGAAUUCCAUGUGUAGCGGUGGAAUGCGUAGAUAUAUGGAAGAACACCAGUGGCGAAGGCGACUCUCUGGUCUGCAACUGACGCUGAGGCUCGAAAGCAUGGGUAGAGAACAGG
This 429-nucleotide ribosomal RNA is filed under the name bacterium. RNAcentral's name for it is "partial 16S ribosomal RNA". It matches the Rfam family "Bacterial small subunit ribosomal RNA", at positions 355 to 776 of the family's 1533-position model. The record is from RNAcentral.